This 433-nucleotide ribosomal RNA is filed under the name uncultured bacterium. Its description in RNAcentral is "partial 16S ribosomal RNA". It matches the Rfam family "Bacterial small subunit ribosomal RNA", at positions 29 to 507 of the family's 1533-position model. The record is from RNAcentral.
AACGAACGCUGGCGGCAUGCCUAACACAUGCAAGUCGAACGAGACCUUCGGGUCUAGUGGCGCACGGGUGCGUAACGCGUGGGAACCUGACCUUAGGGUCGGAAUAACUCCCCGAAAGGGGUGCUAAUACCGGAUAAUGUCUUCGGACCAAAGAUUUUUCGCCUUUGGAUGGGCCCGCGUUGGAUUAGCUAGUUGGUAGGGUAAAAGCUUACCAAGGCGACGAUUCAUAGCUGGUUUGAGAGGAUGGUCAGCCACACUGGGACUGAGACACGGCCCAGACUCCUACGGGAGGCAGCAGUGGGGAAUAUUGGACAAUCGGCGAAAGCCUGAUCCAGCAAUGCCGCGUGAGUGAUGAAGGCCUUAGGGUUGUAAAGCUCUUUUACCCGGGAUGAUAAUGACAGUACCGGGAGAAUAAGCUCCGGCUAACUCCGUG